This 196-nucleotide ribosomal RNA is filed under the name uncultured anaerobic ammonium-oxidizing bacterium. RNAcentral's name for it is "partial 16S ribosomal RNA". It matches the Rfam family "Bacterial small subunit ribosomal RNA", at positions 335 to 524 of the family's 1533-position model. The record is from RNAcentral.
ACUCCUACGGGAGGCAGCAGUGGGGAAUUUUGGACAAUGGGCGAAAGCCUGAUCCAGCCAUGCCGCGUGAGUGAAGAAGGCCUUCGGGUUGUAAAGCUCUUUUAGUCGGAAAGAAAGAGUUGCAAUGAAUAAUUGUGAUUUAUGACGGUACCGACAGAAGAAGCACCGGCUAACUACGUGCCAGCGCCGCGGUAAU